This 489-nucleotide ribosomal RNA is filed under the name fungal endophyte sp. ECD-2008. RNAcentral's name for it is "eukaryotic LSU rRNA". The stretch from base 197 to 350 matches the Rfam family "5.8S ribosomal RNA". The record is from RNAcentral. Lineage: Eukaryota; Fungi.
CUUCCGUAGGUUGAACCUGCGGAAGGAUCAUUAAAGAGACGUUUGCCCUUCGGGGUAUACCUCCCACCCUUUGUUUAUUAUACCUUUGUUGCUUUGGCGGGCCCGUCCUCGGACCACCGGCUUCGGCUGGUCAGUGCCCGCCAGAGGACCUAAAACUCUGUUUGUUCAUAUUGUCUGAGUACUAUAUAAUAGUUAAAACUUUCAACAACGGAUCUCUUGGUUCUGGCAUCGAUGAAGAACGCAGCGAAAUGCGAUAAGUAAUGUGAAUUGCAGAAUUCAGUGAAUCAUCGAAUCUUUGAACGCACAUUGCGCCCCCUGGUAUUCCGGGGGGCAUGCCUGUUCGAGCGUCAUUACAACCCUCAAGCUCUGCUUGGUAUUGGGCUCUGCCGGUCCCGGCAGGCCUUAAAAUCAGUGGCGGUGCCAUUCGGCUUCAAGCGUAGUAAUUCUUCUCGCUUUGGAGACCCGGGUGCGUGCUUGCCAGCAACCCCC